This 750-nucleotide small RNA is filed under the name Pongo abelii (Sumatran orangutan). Its description in RNAcentral is "processed transcript". The record is from RNAcentral. Lineage: Eukaryota; Metazoa; Chordata; Mammalia; Primates; Hominidae.
GGGUCUCCGCGCUUGUCCCGCCGGCCCCGGCCUCGCCGCCCCGCGCAGUGCCCAGCCCGGCCCUGCCGACCCGCUUCUACCGCUGGCUCCGCGCCCUUCCCCGAGGGCUGGAUGAUGGGCUCUUUCGCCCUGCAAACGGUGGACACCGAGCUGACCGCGGACUCGGUGGAGUGGUGCCCGCUGCAAGGCUGCAGGCACCUGCUGGCGUGCGGGACCUACCAGCUGCGGCGGCCGGAGGACCGGCCUGCCGGCCCCCAGAACAAGGUGUCACAUCCCGGUGGGUGGACAUGCCCUCUUGGGCUUGGCAGAUGCCAGUGGAUCCAUACAACUGCUCCGCCUGGUGGAAUAUGAGAAGAGCCACGUGCUGGAGCCAUUGUCCAGCCUUGCCCUGGAGGAGCAGUGUCUGGCUUUGUCCCUAGAUUGGUCCACUGGGAAAACUGGAAGGGCCGGGGACCAGCCCUUGAAGAUCAUCAGCAGUGACUCCACAGGGCAGCUUCACCUCCUGAUGGUGAAUGAGACGGGGCCCAGGCUGCAGAAAGUGGCCUCAUGGCAGGCACAUCAAUUCGAGGCCUGGAUUGCUGCUUUCAAUUACUGGCAUACAGAAAUUGUGUAUUCAGGGGGCGACGAUGGCCUUCUGAGGGGCUGGGACACCAGGGUACCCGGCAAAUUUCUCUUCACUAGCAAAAGACACACCAUGGGCGUGUGCAGCAUCCAGAGCAGCCCCCAUCGGGAGCACAUCCUGGCCACGGG